GAGUGUGAGGCACCUUGAUGCAAGCGGUAAUGAACUGAAAAGUAAGUGUAUGUGUUGCUCACACCCCCACUGCGCCUGUUGAUAUGAGCAUCUAUGCAUUUUGUGUUCUGAGAGAUGACUGUAGCCCCUUAAGCAUAACUUGUGGGAUUUACCCAAGCUCAAGGUCCAGUUCUAGGAGAAUGGAGGUUAGUCAAGCUUCCAAGACUGCAGACACAUCCAAGUGAGGCACUGCAUGUGGCAGUCUGUCAUUCUUU
This 254-nucleotide small nuclear RNA is filed under the name Melopsittacus undulatus (budgerigar). RNAcentral describes it as "7SK RNA". It matches the Rfam family "7SK RNA". From Rfam's summary of the family: 7SK was discovered as an abundant small nuclear RNA in the mid-70s but a possible function has only recently been suggested. Lineage: Eukaryota; Metazoa; Chordata; Aves; Psittaciformes; Psittaculidae. The record is from Rfam by way of RNAcentral.